RNAcentral lists this ribosomal RNA (253 nucleotides) under uncultured bacterium. Its description in RNAcentral is "partial 16S ribosomal RNA". It matches the Rfam family "Bacterial small subunit ribosomal RNA", at positions 524 to 776 of the family's 1533-position model. The record is from RNAcentral.
UACGAAGGGGGCUAGCGUUGUUCGGAAUCACUGGGCGUAAAGCGUACGUAGGCGGACGAAUAAGUCAGGGGUGAAAGCCUGGAGCUCAACUCCAGAACUGCCUUUGAUACUGUUCGUCUUGAGUCCGGGAGAGGUGAGUGGAACUGCUAGUGUAGAGGUGAAAUUCGUAGAUAUUAGCAAGAACACCAGUGGCGAAGGCGGCUCACUGGCCCGGUACUGACGCUGAGGUACGAAAGCGUGGGGAGCAAACAGG